UACGAAGGGAGCUAGCGUUGUUCGGAAUCACUGGGCGUAAAGCGCACGUAGGCGGAUGUGUCAGUCAGGGGUGAAAUCCCGGAGCUCAACUUCGGAACUGCCCUUGAUACAGCACGUCUUGAGUCCGGAAGAGGUGGGUGGAAUUCCUAGUGUAGAGGUGAAAUUCGUAGAUAUCGGGAGGAACACCAGUGGCGAAGGCGACUACCUGGCCUGUUCUUGACGCUGAGGCGCGAAAGCUAGGGGAGCAAACGGG
RNAcentral lists this ribosomal RNA (253 nucleotides) under uncultured bacterium. RNAcentral describes it as "partial 16S ribosomal RNA". It matches the Rfam family "Bacterial small subunit ribosomal RNA", at positions 524 to 776 of the family's 1533-position model. The record is from RNAcentral.